This 365-nucleotide ribosomal RNA is filed under the name uncultured fungus. RNAcentral's name for it is "eukaryotic LSU rRNA". It matches the Rfam family "Eukaryotic large subunit ribosomal RNA", at positions 40 to 398 of the family's 3401-position model. The record is from RNAcentral. Lineage: Eukaryota; Fungi.
AUAUCAGUAAGCGGAGGAAAAGAAACUAACUAGGAUUCCCUCAGUAACGGCGAGUGAAGCGGGAACAGCUCAAAUUUGGAAUCGAGGCGGCUUCCGCUUCGAAUUGUAAGUAAUAGGGUCGUAGUCGGUAGGCGCCGUCUUGACACAAGUCUGCUGGAACGCAGCAUCACAGAGGGUGACAAUCCCGUCGGUGGUCUUGACCGGUGCCUGCCAAUGAUGCGGCUUCGACGAGUCGGGUUGUUUGGGAAUGCAGCCCAAAAUGGGUGGUAUACUCCAUCUAAAGCUAAAUACAGGCGAGAGACCGAUAGCGAACAAGUACCGUGAGGGAAAGAUGAAAAGAACUUUGGAAAGAGAGUUAAAAGUGC